AGAGUUUGAUCCUGGCUCAGAACGAACGUUAGCGGCGCGCCUAACACAUGCAAGUCGCACGAGAAAGGGCUUCGGCCCCGGUAAAGUGGCGCACGGGUGAGUAUCACGUGGGUAAUCUUCCCUCGAGCGGGGGAUAACAUUCCGAAAGGAGUGCUAAUACCGCAUAAGACCACGGCCUCGAAAGAGGCUGAGGUCAAAGC
This 200-nucleotide ribosomal RNA is filed under the name uncultured bacterium. RNAcentral describes it as "partial 16S ribosomal RNA". It matches the Rfam family "Bacterial small subunit ribosomal RNA", at positions 8 to 207 of the family's 1533-position model. The record is from RNAcentral.